Molecule: transfer RNA, 84 nt
Filed under: Canis lupus familiaris (dog)
Lineage: Eukaryota; Metazoa; Chordata; Mammalia; Carnivora; Canidae
Also listed under: 1 other name
Rfam family: tRNA
About the family: Transfer RNA (tRNA) molecules are approximately 80 nucleotides in length.
Source: Rfam by way of RNAcentral
GCCUGGGUGGCUCAGUUGGUUAAGCGUCUGCCUUUGGCUCAGGUUAUGACCCCCAGGGUCCUGGAUCAAGCCCUGGCCUAGGCU